Molecule: non-coding RNA, 232 nt
Organism: Cinara cedri
Lineage: Eukaryota; Metazoa; Arthropoda; Insecta; Hemiptera; Aphididae
Source: the annotation of a GenBank genome assembly
CGCUGUAGCUUGUAGUGUAUAAAUUAAUCAUUAAUACAUGUAUAAAAAGUACUUCAAGUGCACGCUAUAGUAUCAGUACUCCUUUGUAUAACUAAAACUUAUCACUAAUUAACUAAAAAAUGUGUCUAAGCUCCAAGACUUUUCACUGUACAACUAUUUUUAAGUAACUAUUGUUUAUUUCUAAAAAUUAAAAAUCAUAUAAAUUACAUAUUAAUGUUUGAAUCAAACAGAA